GACCAAGGAGUCUAACAUGUGCGCGAGUCAAUGGGACUUGUAUAGGCCCAUGGGCGUAACGAAAGUGAGAGAGACUCCGCGGCUUCGGCCGCGGAGAGGAAAGUUGGGAUUCCCCGUUCAAUUGGCGGCGGGGACGCACCAACGACCCGUCCUAUCCGCUUCAUCGGUUGGACGGAGUCUGAGCGUACACGUUGGGACCCGAAAGAUGGUGAACUAUGCCUGGGCAGGACGAAGCCAGAGGAAACUCUGGUGGAGGUCCGUAGCGGUUCUGACGUGCAAAUCGAUCGUCAGAUCCGGGUAUAGGGGCGAAAGACCAAUCGAACUAUCUAGUAGCUGGUUCCCUCCGAAGUUUCCCUCAGGAUAGCUGGCACUCGGUGGAAUCAGUCUCAUCCGGUAAAGCGAAUGAUUAGAGGCCUUGGGGCCGAAACGACCUCAACCUAUUCUCAAACUUUAAAUGGGUGAGAAGUCCUGCUUACAUGAUCGAAGCAUGGACAUGAUACCGGAUGUGAGUGCCAAGUGGGCCACUUUUG
This 530-nucleotide ribosomal RNA is filed under the name Huttonia sp. 2 HMW-2014. RNAcentral describes it as "eukaryotic LSU rRNA". It matches the Rfam family "Eukaryotic large subunit ribosomal RNA", at positions 664 to 1139 of the family's 3401-position model. The record is from RNAcentral. Lineage: Eukaryota; Metazoa; Arthropoda; Arachnida; Araneae; Huttoniidae.